RNAcentral lists this ribosomal RNA (440 nucleotides) under uncultured bacterium. RNAcentral describes it as "bacterial SSU rRNA". It matches the Rfam family "Bacterial small subunit ribosomal RNA", at positions 958 to 1397 of the family's 1533-position model. The record is from RNAcentral.
AACGCGAAGAACCUUACCUAGGUUUGACAUAUGUGAGAAGCCUCUAGAGAUAGAGGUCUCUUUGGACACUCAUAUACAGGUGGUGCAUGGCUGUCGUCAGCUCGUGUCGUGAGAUGUUGGGUUAAGUCCCGCAACGAGCGCAACCCUCGUCUUAUGUUGCCAGCACGUAAUGGUGGGGACUCAUAAGAGACUGCCGGGGUCAACUCGGAGGAAGGUGGGGAUGACGUCAAGUCAUCAUGCCCCUUAUGCCUAGGGCUUCACGCAUGCUACAAUGGCCGGUACAAAGGGCUGCGAUACCGCGAGGUGGAGCGAAUCCCAAAAAGCCGGUCUCAGUUCGGAUUGGGGUCUGCAACUCGACCCCAUGAAGUCGGAGUCGCUAGUAAUCGCAGAUCAGCAACGCUGCGGUGAAUACGUUCCCGGGCCUUGUACACACCGAUAGC